Molecule: long non-coding RNA, 2795 nt
Organism: Sorghum bicolor (sorghum)
Lineage: Eukaryota; Viridiplantae; Streptophyta; Magnoliopsida; Poales; Poaceae
Exons: 9
Source: RefSeq, a predicted model, not a curated record
CUCUCCCUCUCUCUCCUCUCUCUCCCCCCCCCGCCGCCGCACCAUUGUCCUCGAUGCGCGCGCCUCCCUGUUGGCUGCCGUUGUUGGAGCACGAGGUCUCGCAGUUCGUUUAUCGCCGCCGUCACCCCACCUCCCUGGAGGACGCGGUCUCCACCACUCGUGCGCGCACGCAACUCCAACACCCUCUUCCCCUCAAUGCCCCAUCGCGUCGUGCACGCCACUCCUGCCCCACGUGCCUCCCUGGGUUCGAAACCCUAGCUCCGUGCUCCAGCGGUGCGACGACGAUGGUUGCUGCUCCGGCGCUCCGGCAAAGACUGAUUGCGGUUUCAUUGCAAGCUCUGAACCCCUUCAGUCCGGUGCACAGCGGAUUAGGCUCCAAUGGGGAAGUUUCCAGCGAAGUGGAUCAAGACCACGCUCUUCUGGCGGAAGAAGUCAUUGUCGAGGUCCGGCUCCAGCAAGGCCAAGGAUUUAUUGCUAUGCAAACUUAUUUAUGUUACGGGGUGGUACUACUAUUGGAUGACUCUUUGCUUUAAAAAGUGACAAGGAAGUGGCACCUAGAAAACAAUCAGUAUGUAAAAUGAAAAGCUCUGCUAUGUACUUGUAUCAUUCUCCAAAAUACAUGUAUUGCUACAUGGAAGAUGACAUUAUAUUUGCCUGAUUUCUUUGAAAUUCCCAUGAGUUGUACUUCUAUUAUUUCUGUUUCCUCAUGUUUUAUGCUGAAUCUCAAUGCUUACUCAGUAUCUUAUACUGCCCGUGCUAAAAGGAAAUGUUUGACAUAUGCUUACUCAGUUUGUAAUAAUAUUCCAUAUAUUCAUAAUCAUAUACUGUUUUUAGAUAAUGGAGACAAAACGACCUCAUCCCUCUACUACUCGUCCUUGAAAUAUGUUGCUGUCUGUUUUCUUAUAAACAAAUUAAAAGGAAAUGUUUGAUUUCAGUUAGCAGGAGUCCAAUGUGCUGGGAAUUUAGAAACGGUUACUUUAUUCUGGAGGUAAUACUUGGAGCUGUUAUUUUUUCCCUCAUUCAAAUUCAGUAUGUUUGAUUUUCAAGAUGGCCUGCUUCUUGUAAUCAAUAACCUUAGGUUUGUUGAAGGAAACCCUCUUGCCAUUUUAACAUCAAAUGUCUAUGUGCACAAGCGUCAAGGUUCUUAACUGUAACGUAGAUGAGGAAACUGCUGCUGGGCAGCUAACCGUACUUUGCCAAAGCUAUGAGCAUAAGAAUUGGUGAUGUAGCAAUAAUGUAGAAAGGAAAAGCUGAUGUCAUCAGUGAUGGUAAAACAGUUCCCGGCCACCCUCAACGACAGCACAGGAGCUGAAUCCUGGGAUAUUGAUGGAGCGUCUGACUUCAUAUUUUCGAGGUGACUUGGAGGCAGUUUCAUCUAUAGCAAACUCUGGUCUAGAUGUAUAUGCUCACAACAUUGAAACCGUGACCAACCAUCACUUUCUGACAAGAAUCAAGAUAAGUGUAGCUCUGAAUAUGUAGUCUUUGAUCUCAUUGAACUCUAAGAUCUUCUGUGGUUCGUUGCUUCAGUUUUGAUCUCAUCUGAAUAUGUAGUCUUUGAUCCACUGGCGGCCUUGUUACGCGGGCCCACCGGCGUCCACCUUGAUCUUCAUCGACUGGCACCAUCGGAUCCACCAAAGUGCAUUGCGCUUCUGCAGCACGCUAGGAAGGGAUGUUUCUUUCAGGACAUACUUCAUUAUCUUAAAGAAAGCAAUGUUCUCUUCCACAGCUCGCGGCUCCUGAGAUCAAAGCGCAUACAGCGGCUCUGCCGAUAACAGAUCGAGCCAUGUUGACCGUGGAACAUGCCACAUCGAACUGCUACUGCUACCCUCCUUUGCUUUCAUUGGGAGCUAGCUUAUUGUGUUUAAGGCACUAAUUUUGUGUGCUUGGGGAAUGAGGACCCUAGGUGGAGGUGUCCAUGGCUAGGUCGCUGGAUACCAUGAUGUGUGAAUUUCCAUCAAAUUCAGUCAAAACACUUCUGAGUUAUGCGACCAUAUUUGUGUUCUUUGAUAAAUUUCACAAGAUUUCAUAACUACACAAUUACUUUUCAUAGGCAUAGGUUUCAUAACUACACAAAUACUAAUCACAGGCAUGUUUAGUUGAGCAAUAGAUUAACAUAACGCGACUACAAAUGUUCUUUUGUUCAGAUUACGUUGAAAUAACAAUUUAGGUUGUAGUUCUAAUCCCCUAAUAAGUAGAAUGUAGUUUGUGUUUCUAGGGCACCUAGCAGGCAAGCUUAUGUGAUCUAAUUUAAACAGGUGUACCCAGUUUCUGUGAUAAGUGGAGAGAUGUAAGUGUCUGCUCUAUAGAAACCAUUUCCUCUUGUACGACAUCUGUGGUUGCUUCUCAAGGGAUACAAUUGUAUGGGAUGCUCCUGCUGAAAUAAAGAUCAUGCCUAUAGCCCAGUUACCCCAUUGUCGUGAGUAGUCCAUGAUACCUAAUGACCAAAAGAGGAAGGCUACAUUGCUUUUACCCCAACUGGUUAAAUAUAGCUAUUUAUGUGCUCAACUCGUGAUCGGCUCUGAUGUUCAGCGUCAAGGGAACUUGCCACCAUGAUGAUUGGCUGUCUUUUGCAAACCUCAUGUCUGCGAGCCGUGUAGUUUGCCGUUCUAUGGUACGAGCUAAGAUGUUCGAUAGUCAUUAAUUCUUGAUUGUUGUGUAUGGUUCAGUAGUACUAUAAAUGUAAUGAAGGGUUGUGUAAUUUAUAGCUGAACAUAACCAUGGGAGCUACAGUGGACAUACAAAUUAUGCUAUAUGUCGAUGCUUCAUAAUUUUGUGUCAUGUUUCUAUUGGUAUAA